This 61-nucleotide microRNA precursor is filed under the name Strigamia maritima. RNAcentral describes it as "microRNA mir-67". It matches the Rfam family "mir-67 microRNA precursor family", at positions 1 to 68 of the family's 84-position model. The record is from RNAcentral. Lineage: Eukaryota; Metazoa; Arthropoda; Chilopoda; Geophilomorpha; Linotaeniidae.
CACUCACUCAACUUGGCUGUGACGUGCCGUUUGAUCCGCCACAACCUCCUUGAGUGAGUGU